This 253-nucleotide ribosomal RNA is filed under the name uncultured bacterium. Its description in RNAcentral is "partial 16S ribosomal RNA". It matches the Rfam family "Bacterial small subunit ribosomal RNA", at positions 524 to 776 of the family's 1533-position model. The record is from RNAcentral.
UACGUAGGGGGCAAGCGUUGUCCGGAUUUAUUAGGCGUAAAGAGCGUGUAGGCGGCUUGGUAGGUCCGCUGUGAAAACUCGAGGCUCAACCUCGAGAUGUCGGCGGAAACCACUUGGCUAGAGUCCGGAAGAGGAGAGUGGAAUUCCUGGUGUAGCGGUGAAAUGCGCAGAUAUCAGGAAGAACACCUAUGGCGAAGGCAGCUCUCUGGGACGGUACUGACGCUGAGACGCGAAAGCGUGGGGAGCGAACAGG